Molecule: ribosomal RNA, 468 nt
Filed under: uncultured bacterium
Lineage: Bacteria
Description: partial 16S ribosomal RNA
Rfam family: Bacterial small subunit ribosomal RNA
Source: RNAcentral
GACGAACGCUGGCGGCGUGCUUAACACAUGCAAGUCGAACGGAAAGGCCCUGCUUUUGUGGGGUGCUCGAGUGGCGAACGGGUGAGUAACACGUGAGUAACCUGCCCUUGACUUUGGGAUAACUUCAGGAAACUGGGGCUAAUACCGGAUAGGAGCUCCUGCUGCAUGGUGGGGGUUGGAAAGUUUCGGCGGUUGGGGAUGGACUCGCGGCUUAUCAGCUUGUUGGUGGGGUAGUGGCUUACCAAGGCUUUGACGGGUAGCCGGCCUGAGAGGGUGACCGGCCACAUUGGGACUGAGAUACGGCCCAGACUCCUACGGGAGGCAGCAGUGGGGAAUAUUGCACAAUGGGCGGAAGCCUGAUGCAGCAACGCCGCGUGCGGGAUGACGGCCUUCGGGUUGUAAACCGCUUUCGCCUGAGACGAAGCGUGAGUGACGGUAAUGGGUAAGGAAGCACCGGCUAACUACGUG